GGCCUGAUAGCUCAAUUGGAAAGAGCUUCUCCUUCGCAAGGUUUUCGUUCUGGGUUCGAGUCCCAGUCAGGCCA
This 74-nucleotide transfer RNA is filed under the name Alphaproteobacteria bacterium. Its description in RNAcentral is "tRNA-Ala". It matches the Rfam family "tRNA". Rfam says of the family: Transfer RNA (tRNA) molecules are approximately 80 nucleotides in length. Their secondary structure includes four short double-helical elements and three loops (D, anti-codon, and T loops). Lineage: Bacteria; Pseudomonadati; Pseudomonadota; Alphaproteobacteria. The record is from RNAcentral.